RNAcentral lists this unclassified non-coding RNA (227 nucleotides) under Hevea brasiliensis (rubber tree). The record is from RNAcentral. Lineage: Eukaryota; Viridiplantae; Streptophyta; Magnoliopsida; Malpighiales; Euphorbiaceae.
AAAGAAGCCAUCUUCUGAAGUGUGCAUUUAUUUGGUGGGGAACAAUAUGCUUUAAAUAGUAUUUAUUUGAUGAAGAUACUAGAAUUUCUUCUCCAAAUCAUUGGAGUAGCAUUAUUUCAAUUUCAUUCAAGUUGCAUAUUUUUUUUCACACUUGGUCUUACAUUGAUCUUUUUUUUGAUAAGCGAUCUUACAUGGAUCUUAAGAGAAACAAACAUUAAAAAGAUUGU